Molecule: ribosomal RNA, 695 nt
Filed under: uncultured bacterium
Lineage: Bacteria
Description: bacterial SSU rRNA
Rfam family: Bacterial small subunit ribosomal RNA
Source: RNAcentral
AGAGUUUGAUCCUGGCUCAAAGUGAACGCUGGCGGCAGGCCUAACACAUGCAAGUCGAACGGCAGCACAGAGGAGCUUGCUCCUUGGGCGGCGAGUGGCGGACGGGUGAGGAAUACAUCGGAAUCUGCCCAAUUGUGGGGGAUAACGUAGGGAAACUUACGCUAAUACCGCAUACGACCUUCGGGUGAAAGCGUGGGACCGUAAGGCCACGCGCGAUUGGAUGAGCCGAUGUCGGAUUAUCUUGUUGGCGGGGUAAAGGCCCACCAAGGCGACGAUCCGUAGCUGGUCUGAGAGGAUGAUCAGCCACACUGGAACUGAGACACGGUCCACACUCCUACGGGAGGCAGCAGUGGGGAAUAUUGGACAAUGGGCGCAAGCCUGAUCCAGCCAUGCCGCGUGUGUGAAGAAGGCCUUCGGGUUGUAAAGCACUUUUAUCCGGAAAGAAAAGCUCUUGGUUAAUAGUCGAGAGUUCUGACGGUACCGGAAGAAUAAGCACCGGCUAUCUUCGUGCCAGCAGCCGCGGUAAUACGAAGGGUGCAAGCGUUACUCGGAAUUACUGGGCGUAGAGCGUGCGUAGGUGGUUUGUUAAGUCUGAUGUGAAAGCCCUGGGCUCAACCUGAGAAUUGCAUUGGAUACUGGCAGGCUAGAGUGCGGUAGAGGAUGGCAGAUCUCCCGGUGUAGCAGUGAAAUGCGUA